Molecule: ribosomal RNA, 741 nt
Filed under: uncultured Pedobacter sp.
Lineage: Bacteria; Pseudomonadati; Bacteroidota; Sphingobacteriia; Sphingobacteriales; Sphingobacteriaceae
Description: bacterial SSU rRNA
Rfam family: Bacterial small subunit ribosomal RNA
Source: RNAcentral
UUAAUCAGGGGGAUAGCCCGAAGAAAUUCGGAUUAACACCGCAUAAAAACACAGGAUAGCAUUAUCCAAUGUUCAAAUAUCUAUAGGAUUAAGAUGGGCAUGCGUGUCAUUAGCUAGUUGGGCGGGGUAACGGCCCACCAAGGCGACGAUGACUAGGGGAUCUGAGAGGAUGACCCCCCACACUGGUACUGAGACACGGACCAGACUCCUACGGGAGGCAGCAGUAAGGAAUAUUGGUCAAUGGAGGGAACUCUGAACCAGCCAUGCCGCGUGCAGGAAGACGGCCCUCUGGGUUGUAAACUGCUUUUAUUCGGGAAUAAACCUACUUACGUGUAAGUAGCUGAAUGUACCGAAGGAAUAAGGAUCGGCUAACUCCGUGCCAGCAGCCGCGGUAAUACGGAGGAUCCAAGCGUUAUCCAGAUUUAUUGGGUUUAAAGGGUGCGUAGGCGGCCUAUUAAGUCAGGGGUGAAAGACGGUAGCUCAACUAUCGCAGUGCCCUUGAUACUGAUGGGCUUGAAUGGACUAGAGGUAGGCGGAAUGUGACAAGUAGCGGUGAAAUGCAUAGAUAUGUCACAGAACACCGAUUGCGAAGGCAGCUUACUAUGGUCAUAUUGACGCUGAGGCACGUAAGCGUGGGGAUCAAACAGGAUUAGAUACCCUGGUAGUCCACGCCCUAAACGAUGAAUACUUGCUGUUAGCGAUAUACAGUUAGCGGCUAAGCGAAAGCGUUAAGUAUUCCAC